AACCAGGAGCUCAGCACCGACUGCUGGUGAGGGACGGUGGCUCAGAAGGAUCAAACAGCGUAACUGCAGUUCACCACUUACCAAUAGGGGCCGCCAAAACUCCAUUUUAGAAUAUUAAAGAGUCUAAUUUUAUGAAAUUCACUUAAAACAAAGGGAUUUUCUUACUCUGUUACACAAAGUAGUUGGAAAGUUUGCUUACCUUCCUUCAUUUCUUCAUACUUUUCUACUCCAAAUUAACAGCUGCUGGUCACAAAAACACAUGGAACUUCCUGGAUGAAUGAGGGAGGGAUGGUACUACACUCUCAGAGGAGCAGGAAGAACUGUAUACAGUUAAUUACCCAACGGCAGAGAGAAAAACGAGGAGGAAAAGCAGGCCACCGCAUUUUGGCAGUAUUCUCAACAGUCUCAACAGCCCAGCUGGUAUUAAAGAAUGUCCACCACAGUCAUCCCCACCAAUAACAUGGAAAACAGCUUCAUCAUCCUGACCCAAGUGAUACCAGCACAAUCAGCUCCAUCUGGAACAGGACAGAACGGACCAGAGCCUGGAGCAGGAUUCUUCACCAGGCCAUUAUCCACAACCACAGGACAUGACCAGGACCGCUUCAGCCCAGGCCAAUCCAGGAGUUUCCUCAAGAGAGAGACAAAAGUCCUCGGGACGGUGCAAAUUAUGAUGGGCAUAAUGUCAUUUUUGUUUAGUAUUGUCCUACUCUAUGAAACCUACAUGUUGCUGUUCACACGUAGCUUACACGGAUUCUGGGGAUCCGCAAUCGUAAGUCUUGUCCAGUUUUCAUUUAUUUAUAUGUUUAUGUUAAUUACAGUAGUGUAAAAGUACUGACUGUCUUUUUACCCCCUCUUGCAUUUCUCUAGUACAUCUUUGCUGGAAUUCUGUCUGUGGUUGCAGAGAAUAAAUAUCAUCCUCAGUUGGUAGGUACA
This 933-nucleotide long non-coding RNA is filed under the name Astyanax mexicanus (Mexican tetra). RNAcentral describes it as "lncRNA (ENSAMXG00005021062.1)". Lineage: Eukaryota; Metazoa; Chordata; Actinopteri; Characiformes; Acestrorhamphidae. The record is from RNAcentral.